RNAcentral lists this ribosomal RNA (286 nucleotides) under uncultured bacterium. RNAcentral's name for it is "partial 16S ribosomal RNA". It matches the Rfam family "Bacterial small subunit ribosomal RNA", at positions 28 to 334 of the family's 1533-position model. The record is from RNAcentral.
GAUGAACGCUGACAGAAUGCUUAACACAUGCAAGUCGACUGGAAUUCUCUUCGGAGUUAGUACGGUGGCGGACGGGUGAGUAACGCGUGGGAAUAUGCCCUUCUCUAAGGAAUAGCCUCUGGAAACGGAGAGUAAUACCUUAUACGCCCUUUGGGGGAAAGAUUUAUCGGAGAAGGAUUAGCCCGCGUUAGAUUAGGUAGUUGGUGGGGUAAUGGCCUACCAAGCCUACGAUCUAUAGCUGGUUUGAGAGGAUGAUCAGCCACACUGGGACUGAGACACGGCCCAG